RNAcentral lists this ribosomal RNA (495 nucleotides) under uncultured bacterium. RNAcentral describes it as "partial 16S ribosomal RNA". It matches the Rfam family "Bacterial small subunit ribosomal RNA", at positions 28 to 507 of the family's 1533-position model. The record is from RNAcentral.
GACGAACGCUGGCGGCGUGCCUAAUACAUGCAAGUAGAACGCUGAAGGAGGAGCUUGCUCUUCUGGAUGAGUUGCGAACGGGUGAGUAACGCGUAGGUAACCUGCCUGGUAGCGGGGGAUAACUAUUGGAAACGAUAGCUAAUACCGCAUAAGAGUAGAUGUUGCAUGACAUUUGCUUAAAAGGUGCAAUUGCAUCACUACCAGAUGGACCUGCGUUGUAUUAGCUAGUUGGUGGGGUAACGGCUCACCAAGGCGACGAUACAUAGCCGACCUGAGAGGGUGAUCGGCCACACUGGGACUGAGACACGGCCCAGACUCCUACGGGAGGCAGCAGUAGGGAAUCUUCGGCAAUGGACGGAAGUCUGACCGAGCAACGCCGCGUGAGUGAAGAAGGUUUUCGGAUCGUAAAGCUCUGUUGUAAGAGAAGAACGAGUGUGGGAGUGGAAAGUUCACACUGUGACGGUAUCUUACCAGAAAGGGACGGCUAACUACGUG